RNAcentral lists this ribosomal RNA (570 nucleotides) under uncultured bacterium. RNAcentral's name for it is "bacterial SSU rRNA". It matches the Rfam family "Bacterial small subunit ribosomal RNA", at positions 338 to 898 of the family's 1533-position model. The record is from RNAcentral.
CCUACGGGAGGCAGCAGUAGGGAAUCUUCCGCAAUGGACGAAAGUCUGACGGAGCAACGCCGCGUGAACGAUGAAGGCCUUCGGGUCGUAAAGUUCUGUUGUUAGGGAAGAACAAGUACCGUUCGAAUAGGGCGGUACCUUGACGGUACCUAACCAGAAAGCCACGGCUAACUACGUGCCAGCAGCCGCGGUAAUACGUAGGUGGCAAGCGUUGUCCGGAAUUAUUGGGCGUAAAGCGCGCGCAGGCGGUCUCUUAAGUCUGAUGUGAAAUCUCACGGCUCAACCGCGGGCGGCCAUUGGAAACUGGGAGACUUGAGUGCAGAAGAGGAGAGUGGAAUUCCAUGUGUAGCGUUGAAAUGCGUAGAUAUAUGGAGGAACACCAGUGGCGAAGGCGACUCUCUGGUCUGUAACUGACGCUGAGGCGCGAAAGCGUGGGGAGCAAACAGGAUUAGAUACCCUGGUAGUCCACGCCGUAAACGAUGAGUGCUAGGUGUUAGGGGUUUCGAUGCCCUUAGUGCCGAAGUUAACACAUUAAGCGCUCCGCCUGGGGAGUACGACCGCAAGGUUGAA